Molecule: RNA transcript, 1915 nt
Organism: Vigna radiata var. radiata (mung bean)
Lineage: Eukaryota; Viridiplantae; Streptophyta; Magnoliopsida; Fabales; Fabaceae
Gene name: DEAD-box ATP-dependent RNA helicase 9, mitochondrial-like
Exons: 4
Source: RefSeq, a predicted model, not a curated record
AAAACCGAAACCUGUUCACUCUACUGCCUCGGUUAUUUACGAAACCGAGGCAUUAAACCCUAUGCGACAAAGCCCUACUGCUCCAGUCUUCUUAGAACCGAUGUUAUUGUGCAUUUAUGUUUCGGUUUGCCUUCUACCCGAGGCAUAUCUUCGUGCAUAUCUCGAGACUUUCCUCCCACAUCUUCAUUCACGGUUGCUUUUCUUGCAAACCCCUAUUCUUCACCUCUGUUAGGGUUCUUCAUCUUCUUCCCAUUUUGGUCGUUUGAACCAUUGAAUAUCUUCAUCCCUACCCAUUAAAUGCCUUCCUCCACACUGAUUUCACCGAUUAGUUACUUCUCAUUUUCCCCUUUUUCAUCUUCCAUGGCAAUCUUCACGAAGCUUUGGUGUUCGCGCAACAGCGGCGACUAUGACGGCGAGAUCCUUCAGAGCUUGCGACAAUGGUGGCGUGUUCACUGCUUUCGUCUCGCGCCAGAGGAGGCUGGAGAUCUGUUCUUGGCAGCGACAACCUUUCUCCAUGGAAUAGCUCGCAAAGUUGCUUCGUGGAUUUACUUUGGGUGUUCGUCGCCGCUAAAGGAUGGCAGAUCUGGUUGGCGUGGGCCAAUGUCAUUUACUUCUGCGGAUUUGUUGUUUUGGGGCUUGAGGUCUUGGUGGAAAAGGUCGGAGAGGGUGCUGCGGCGGCGGGUGGGCAGAAGAGGGCUUUAAGGGCGACGACGACGACAGUGGAUGGAGGUUUGCGAGUAGUGGCAAGGCUGUUGUUAUUGUUGGGGUCGAGGAGGGCGAGGUGUUCGUAGAGGCAUGAGGGACAAAAGCUGAUGAAGGCUUCGUAGGAGUGGUGGGGCAGGAGGUGGAGGGACGGUGGGCCUACGACGGUUAGGAUGGCGGGGACACUCUUAUUUUCUAUUUUUCUGCAGCUUUUUCUUCUUGAUGUUUGUUUGUCUUUAAUGUAGGCUAAAGAUCUUGAAGAAGUUGAAUUCUUGACAUCAAUAGUUCUUAAAUUAUGUUUGCUUGUACUUGAUUUUCUAUUGUUGUGUCAUCAAAUGUUUGUUAAUGUUAUGGUAUCAGGUGCUAGUUUUGCUGGAGGAAGGAUAAGCCUUGGAAGCCUAGAAUUUUUGAAAAUAAGGAAGUUUGAGAGGGUUUGGAGGAGCAAAAGCUCACAUGGUAAAUCUCAGGCUUUUGUAUUUUACAAACCUUUGGAGAUUUUUUCUACCUUAGUAGAGAACUGUGUUGGAACCUGCAAUGCAGGGACGUGAUAUGAUUGGUCGAGCUAGGACAGGAAUUGGGAAAACUCUUACAUUUGGGAUACCCAUCUUAGACAGGAUUAUUCAGCUGAAUGCUAAGCAUGGGGGCUUGAAUAAGGCAUCUCUUCUUGGGUUGCAGUAAAUUAUGCUCUUGGAAACUUGGGUUGCGAGCCUCACAAAACAACUAGAAUAGUUGAUCUUGAGAUGAUAAUCCAGAGAGUGUUCUGUCAUCCAUGCAAACCAUAAUGGUUGUUCUUUUAGAAGAAAGUGAGGAUGUACAUCCAGAUCUUUUGUCUAUUCUACUGUCUACACUAGGUCGUGACAGAAGAGAUGUUUCUGGGGCUGCAAGGAAGCUUUCCUUGAGUAUUGUACAACAAUGCAUAGAGAAACUUAAACUGAGUACCAAACAAUUUUUAUUAUCAUUAAUAUCAGGAGACAUCCAGGAAAUGAACAGUCAAGUUCAAUACGAUGAAGUUAUCUAUGAUCUCUUGCUAUGCUCCUCAAAUCCUAUAUGAAGUUUUUCCUUAUGUUACAAGAGAGCUAAUGGUGAAUACUGAUUUAUUGAUUUUUGUGAUGCUCUAUGUGGUUUCUAAAUUAUUUCCUUUUAAACAACCAUGAUGCUAUUGUAAAGGAGUUUCAUUAUUUAAAUUUAAUGAUAUCAUGUUAUGCUUUGUAAA